UUCAUGCAUGCUGGACCAGCACUCUACCACUAGGCCACAUUCCCAGUUUAUCUUCAGUGUUUAAGACAGUGUUGAGUAUUUAGUAAAUCUUCCUGGUGUGAUCUUUAAGAAACUUUCUCAAAUGUUCAAAAACUUCAGUCAGGAGUUAAUUGUUCAAUCUACAGUAGUAUUUUUUACUUUAAAUAUCAAAUUUUGUUUUAAAUAUGAAA
Molecule: long non-coding RNA, 209 nt
Organism: Perognathus longimembris pacificus (Pacific pocket mouse)
Lineage: Eukaryota; Metazoa; Chordata; Mammalia; Rodentia; Heteromyidae
Exons: 3
Source: RefSeq, a predicted model, not a curated record